This 497-nucleotide ribosomal RNA is filed under the name uncultured bacterium. Its description in RNAcentral is "partial 16S ribosomal RNA". It matches the Rfam family "Bacterial small subunit ribosomal RNA", at positions 28 to 507 of the family's 1533-position model. The record is from RNAcentral.
GACGAACGCUGGCGGCGUGCCUAAUACAUGCAAGUUGAGCGCUGAAGGUUGGUACUUGUACCAACUGGAUGAGCAGCGAACGGGUGAGUAACGCGUGGGGAAUCUGCCUUUGAGCGGGGGACAACAUUUGGAAACGAAUGCUAAUACCACAUAAAAACUUUAAACACAAGUUUUAAGUUUGAAAGAUGCAAUUGCAUCACUCAAAGAUGAUCCCGCGUUGUAUUAGCUAGUUGGUGAGGUAAAGGCUCACCAAGGCGAUGAUACAUAGCUGACCUGAGAGGGUGAUCGGCCACAUUGGGACUGAGACACGGCCCAAACUCCUACGGGAGGCAGCAGUAGGGAAUCUUCGGCAAUGGACGAAAGUCUGACCGAGCAACGCCGCGUGAGUGAAGAAGGUUUUCGGAUCGUAAAACUCUGUUGGUAGAGAAGAACGUUGGUGAGAGUGGAAAGCUCAUCAAGUGACGGUAACUACCCAGAAAGGGACGGCUAACUACGUG